This is a long non-coding RNA of Gossypium raimondii (Peruvian cotton), 1010 nucleotides long. RefSeq lists it as uncharacterized. The transcript is spliced from 2 exons. NCBI's taxonomy places the organism in Eukaryota, Viridiplantae, Streptophyta, Magnoliopsida, Malvales, Malvaceae. The record is from RefSeq and is a predicted model, not a curated record.
GAAAUGGGUGAAUUUAUAUAUUUAUUUUUAAAUUUAAAGAUUUAGGGUUACAAAGAAACAUUCUUACAUACAAAUCUGUUAUAAAUGAUUAAAUGGGAUUAGGAGAAAUAGAGGGAAUGCGAGAUAUAAAAUGAAGUGAAGGGAGGGCAGAAAAUCCAAAGUAGGGGACCUGCAAAACCCAAGAACGCUUUGGCUCUUAUGUAUGGAAUUAACUGUUUGUUACAAAUAGUCUUUGUAUUGACCGAUAAAAAAAAGAAGUGAAAUUUGUUGCCGCUUUUGCUCCUUCCUUAACCUCCUCCUUUACCCCAUAAUAAACUCCAGCUUCCAUGGAAAUACAAGAGAGAAGAACAUCAGAGGUAGCUCUUUCUUUUUCUCGUAACUCAAGUGCAGGUGAGCAUCUCCUGUUUUCAUCGAUAAUUAAGAUGAUUACUUUUUUAUUUGUUUUCCAUGUGGAUUGGUUGGUGAAUCUGCCUGGCUCCCUGAAUGCCAUCUAAGAAGCUUUGUCAAGCACGGUUGGCUGCCUUCUUACAUGGCAUGAGGGGAGUCAUGCAGGUUUAACUGUUUCAUAUCUUCAUAAGGAUAUGGAUGAAUUCAUAGAUUUUUUAUGGGGUUUGAUCUUCAUCGGCUCAACAUAAUUGUUAAUAUUAAUGUUAGUUAGCUGUAUUUAGAUAAUUAAAGUGAAAGUGCGGGUGUGUAUUAUUUAGUAGCUGAGUUGAUAGACAAACUACUGAAGAUUAGACAAGAAAAAGAGAUGAUGAUAUUAUAUAAAAUCUAGCAAUAAAGUGAGGAGAUUUAAUAAAUUCUAAUGUUUGGCUGCUUAUUCAAAAAGUGAGUGGUUAGUGCUAAUAAUUUACUGCACAUGUGGCUGUCAUGGAAAGGAAUUCACACUGUGCAGGGCAUUAUAACACUCAUGUAGGCCCUUCUUUUUACCAUUAAUUUUAGGACCCAAUGUGUAUAAGCUACUAUCCAAAUAUUUGUAUUCAAGUCAUUGAAUUAUUAAGUUUUUUUUA